AAGGCUUUAGCUUAAUGAAAGCAUCUGAUUUGCAUUCAGAAGAUGUGGGGUAACAUCCCGCAAGUCUUA
Molecule: transfer RNA, 69 nt
Filed under: Eleutheronema tetradactylum (Indian salmon)
Lineage: Eukaryota; Metazoa; Chordata; Actinopteri; Polynemidae
Also listed under: 1 other name
Description: tRNA-Ala
Rfam family: tRNA
About the family: Transfer RNA (tRNA) molecules are approximately 80 nucleotides in length. Their secondary structure includes four short double-helical elements and three loops (D, anti-codon, and T loops). Further hydrogen bonds mediate the characteristic L-shaped molecular structure. tRNAs have two regions of fundamental functional importance: the anti-codon, which is responsible for specific mRNA codon recognition, and the 3' end, to which the tRNAs corresponding amino acid is attached (by aminoacyl-tRNA synthetases). tRNAs cope with the degeneracy of the genetic code in two manners: having more than one tRNA (with a specific anti-codon) for a particular amino acid; and 'wobble' base-pairing, i.e. permitting non-standard base-pairing at the 3rd anti-codon position.
Source: RNAcentral